UUUCCGUAGGUGAACCUGCGGAAGGAUCAUUACCACAAUUAUCCAUUUCCAUACCUGUGAACCGAUUUGAAAACCAUAUUAUCUGCAUUUUCCUUGUGAAGAUUGUAGAUAAUGCAACAGUUUUUUUCAUCACAACUUCUACAUUUUUGUUUUCAUAAAAGAAAUGUAUGUACAACUUUUAGCGAUGGAUGUCUAGGUUCUC
Molecule: unclassified non-coding RNA, 202 nt
Filed under: soil metagenome
Description: partial contains small subunit ribosomal RNA, internal transcribed spacer 1, and 5.8S ribosomal RNA
Source: RNAcentral